GAUCCUGGCUCAGGAUGAACGCUAGCUACAGGCUUAACACAUGCAAGUCGAGGGGCAGCAUGGUCUUAGCUUGCUAAGGCCGAUGGCGACCGGCGCACGGGUGAGUAACGCGUAUCCAACCUGCCUUACACUCUUGGACAGCCUUCUGAAAGGGAGAUUAAUACAAGAUGUUAUCAUGAGUAAGCAUUUUCGCAUGAUUAAAGUUACGUGUAGA
RNAcentral lists this ribosomal RNA (214 nucleotides) under uncultured bacterium. RNAcentral describes it as "partial 16S ribosomal RNA". It matches the Rfam family "Bacterial small subunit ribosomal RNA", at positions 15 to 214 of the family's 1533-position model. The record is from RNAcentral.